ACCCAUGAAGAGCAGGAUGACGCUGAGGAUGGGGAAGAUACUAGACGCUCGCACGGCCCCUACAGAUGGAGAGACGGAGAAGAAGUUCUCAUGCGUCACCGUCCGUCUCUUUCCCUUGAGCACAUAGCGGCAGGGGGUGGGGGGUGGAUUUGGUCGUUUGCUCCGGCCUGGACUGAGGAGCGUGACUGUCACACCUCGCCAGCUACAGUAGGUGCUAACCGCAGGUCUGCAGAGGUGGAAACAUCUCCGUUCAUCCUCUCUACACAUCAAGAGCCUCUCCGAUGCCAACCGUGAAGA
Non-coding RNA from Pimephales promelas (fathead minnow), 297 nucleotides. NCBI's taxonomy places the organism in Eukaryota, Metazoa, Chordata, Actinopteri, Cypriniformes, Leuciscidae. The record is from RefSeq and is a predicted model, not a curated record.